GAUUGAACGCUGGCGGCAGGCCUAACACAUGCAAGUCGAGCGGAUGAAGGGAGCUUGCUCCUGGAUUCAGCGGCGGACGGGUGAGUAAUGCCUAGGAAUCUGCCUGGUAGUGGGGGAUAACGUCCGGAAACGGGCGCUAAUACCGCAUACGUCCUGAGGGAGAAAGUGGGGGUUCUUCGGACCUCACGCUAUCAGAUGAGCUUAGGUCGGAUUAGCUAGUUGGUGGGGUAAAGGCCUACCAAGGCGACGAUCCAUAACUGGUCUGAGAGGAUGAUCAGUCACACUGGAACUGAGACACGGUCCAGACUCCUACGGGAGGCAGCAGUGGGGAAUAUUGGACAAUGGGCGAAAGCCUGAUCCAGCCAUGCCGCGUGUGUGAAGAAGGUCUUCGGAUUGUAAAGCACUUUAAGUUGGGAGGAAGGGCAGUAAGUUAAUACCUUGCUGUUUUGACGUUACCAACAGAAUAAGCACCGGCUAACUUCGUG
Molecule: ribosomal RNA, 485 nt
Filed under: uncultured bacterium
Lineage: Bacteria
Description: partial 16S ribosomal RNA
Rfam family: Bacterial small subunit ribosomal RNA
Source: RNAcentral